RNAcentral lists this transfer RNA (84 nucleotides) under Planctomycetes bacterium RBG_13_44_8b. RNAcentral's name for it is "tRNA-Leu". It matches the Rfam family "tRNA". From Rfam's summary of the family: Transfer RNA (tRNA) molecules are approximately 80 nucleotides in length. Their secondary structure includes four short double-helical elements and three loops (D, anti-codon, and T loops). The record is from RNAcentral. Lineage: Bacteria; Pseudomonadati; Planctomycetota.
GCCCGGGUGGCGGAAUUUGGCAUACGCGCUAGCUUGAGGUGCUAGUGGGAAUUUCCCUUGCAGGUUCGAAUCCUGUCCCGGGCA